CAUGACACUAUAAGGACGGCAGGUCCCGCGAAUUUACUUAUGAAAACACAUUACACUAAAAAGGACGGCAGGUCCCGUGAAUUUACUUAUGAAAACACAUUACACUAAAAGGACGGCAGGUCCCGCGAAUUUACUUAUAAAAACACAUUACAAUAAAUCACUGUGAUUAGUCCCGCACAGGAGGAUGUGCACAAGCAGCUAGUCCGCGGGGUGGCGAAGGCCACGUUAAGCUGGGUACGGACACGGUGGAAUCUGGUAUGAUAUCGCACACGUGGCCGUGGCACGUCCCAGUUGAUGACUCGUCCGAAUGUUUGUGGUCGCGUUUGGCGCCAUGCCGCCCUGCGUGGGCAAAGAACUAUGUCCCGAGGUGGGGCGUUAUAGCGUGAGGCGCAGGUGCCACGAAGGAUCACCUAAAUUAUUACGUAAGAUAUAAAAAUCCCUGGAUGGGAUACACAUUUUAUUAAUAGACCGCGCGAGGCUGCUAACGGCCGAUGUGGGCCGACCGGGGAGCUGAUAUAAAAACGGUUUGGCUAUAAUUACCUAUUGCAGUUACAAGAUGUUGGCGCGAAAGUUGAAGGAUCCCCGUGCGUGGGCUGCCGGCCCGGGCGAGUGCUGGAUGGCGACUGACUAACCUCCCUGACCGCCGGGGCCAGGGAGGGGGGAAAUUCCGCGGGAAAACUGCGGAGCGCGGGAAGAUGACUUCGGCCAGUUUUGUGAAUGAUAACCCUUUAUAAAAUGAUUAUUAAAUUAACAUUGAUUAUUGAUGGUUUUAGAUUUAUGAGUUUCUGUUUAUCUUAUAAAAUGCAUGAAUAAAUAAUACCCUUGCGCAGUGCCACACCCGGCCGGGCGCUUUGCACACGUAGGGGGCCGUGACUGACGUCACGCCGUUCGGGGCACUGCACUAUUUUGCGCGCGCGGGCGAGUUCGAGGCGCGGCACAAAUCAGGUGUUGAGGACACAUAACGGCCUGUGCUCUCAGAGGGAGCACUGACGGCGGCGUCAACUUUUUGCCGCACAGUAAUGCAUCUCUGAAUUGAUAGUUUUAAAGAGAAGGGAACAGCUGAAACUCUUUUUCAUAUCCCCCGGAUUUAGGUGGAAAACUGAAACAGCAGGAGAAGAUACAAAGGAACACCCCUCUGGAUGACUGUAAUCUUUCAUUACAUUCUAAUGAACAGCCAUGCCAAAAACCUAGAAAGCUGAUUCCAAACUGAUUGCGCAGAAAACAAAACAGCAGGAUGUUUGAGACACUGCUUGAGAACUCAGAGGAAAGCCUCUCGUGUUACAUCAAGCAGAACUAGCCUUCUGAAAUUGUUGGUGUGACAAGAAAACAUGAGCUCACUCCCAAAGCACAUUGUUUGGUG
Molecule: long non-coding RNA, 1360 nt
Organism: Bacillus rossius redtenbacheri
Lineage: Eukaryota; Metazoa; Arthropoda; Insecta; Phasmatodea; Bacillidae
Exons: 4
Source: RefSeq, a predicted model, not a curated record